AUCUACACUAAUAUAAAGUUUACAGUAAAAAUAUGUCCUAAUUUACAAGUAAAUUUAAAACUUAUGUAAAUAGUUCAAUUUUUUAGGCCUACUCGAACGUAUGAUGUUUAAUAGAGAUUUCAUAAAAACAAUUUUUUUAUUCAAUCUUGAAUAGAAUAUUUGCAAGAUGUUCUUAUGUUUACCUAGGAGUAAUAAGUUCCAAUGUUUGAUCAUCCAUCCACUCGACGGCUCUCAUAACAUCAUAUGGAUUAGCUGGAGCAGGAUAAACAGUUUCGUCUAGUUCUUCGUACUC
Long non-coding RNA from Daktulosphaira vitifoliae (grape phylloxera), 292 nucleotides. RefSeq lists it as uncharacterized. NCBI's taxonomy places the organism in Eukaryota, Metazoa, Arthropoda, Insecta, Hemiptera, Phylloxeridae. The record is from RefSeq and is a predicted model, not a curated record. The transcript is spliced from 3 exons.